AGGAUAAUAGUUAACUAUAACAUUUAAUUUGCACUUAAAAAGUAUUGAAAUUCAAAUUCAAUUUAUCUU
This 69-nucleotide transfer RNA is filed under the name Carpelimus fuliginosus. Its description in RNAcentral is "tRNA-Ala". Lineage: Eukaryota; Metazoa; Arthropoda; Insecta; Coleoptera; Staphylinidae. The record is from RNAcentral.